RNA transcript from Mercurialis annua (annual mercury), 2107 nucleotides. RefSeq lists it as uncharacterized. NCBI's taxonomy places the organism in Eukaryota, Viridiplantae, Streptophyta, Magnoliopsida, Malpighiales, Euphorbiaceae. The record is from RefSeq and is a predicted model, not a curated record. The transcript has 3 exons.
AGCUAAUUUUUUUUAAUCAAGCUAAAAUUUGUUUGCCUUGGUUGUUAUUCUGAUUGUAGAAACGACGUUAUACUUUUUAAGUGUUUGCAUUAUUGAGGUUGCUUUACCCCUAAUACGUUAUUACCAAUUCCCCCUUCAAUAUGUUGUCUGAGAUUUGUAUGAUAGUUUUUCUAUAUAUGUGUUUGGGUCUAAUGAUGUGUCUAAUGUUGUUUGGAUUUUGAUGUGAGUUAUAUGUCAUGUUUUUGGUGGGUUAUAGAAUGCGAGGAGUGUUGUUAGCAUAGUUGGGUAGGUGUUUUGGUAACGUUAUUAGUUUGUUAAGCACGUCGUAACAUACUUUCCAAUGCAUAAACAGAGUGAAAGUCUAAGAGAAGCCAAAAUCACUAGAUCACUACUGCUAUUUUCUCAUCUUGUUUGUAUUUUUAUUUCUUUCAAGUGAAAAGAUACUAUCUGCGAAAUAUAAGCUCUAUGUCUUUCAAGUUAAAACUGAUUUGCUCUUUCUAGUCUUUUGAUUAAUGCACAAAAACAAAAUUGAUUUAGGGAUCUUUCCGUUAGAAGAAAGAUAAUCCUAAAUCAAAUCGAAAAAUUUCAAAAGAAAAGAAAAAAUAUCUAACCUCAGAGAUUAAAAUUAGUUCUUACAAAAUAAAUUAUAAUGCUAAGCAUCAUUCAAAUGAUUAAAAAAUAUCUCAGAGAUAUUAAAAAGAAAGAACACGUAAUUUAUUAUUUAAAUUUUUUAAGAUGUCUUUCAAAAGACUUUAUGCAGUUUUUUGUCUUAUUUUUAUUCCUCUUUCUCGCAAUUCUUGGCGUUAUGUGGGUCUGCAAAUUGAGUGGGAGGAGACUCUGGACCCGUUUGUUAUUCUAGCUUAGCCUACAUUUACUUUUUUAAAAGAUAUAAAGAAGCUGUCGCUGUGCUUUUCUCUUGUCGCGUUUGUCUUCCCUGCUGCAGCUGCCGUUGAUCUUCUUGUCAUUGGUGCUUUUCAGAAACAGAGGUUAGUAAUGAGCUAAUUUUUUUUUUUAAUCAAGCUAAAAUUUGUUUGCCUUGGUUGUUAUUCUGAUUGUAGAAACGACGUUAUACUUUUCAAGUGUUUGCAUUAUUGAGGUGGAGAUUUAAACUCGGGAAAUUGUAUGCAACCUAUUUGUUGUGUAGCUCAAAUUUUUUGGUACCGAUAGCUUAACUUUUUUGAUUUUGACAAGGGCUUAUGAAUUUCAGCCCAAUGGAUUCAAUUUGACUGCUAAUUCUUACAAUUCCAUGAAUUAGUACCUAUACAACGUCUGAAACAUUGACUUUCUACAUUUUGAAAAAUGAACACCUCUCAAAUUGAUAGUUUUAAUUUUAAAUAUUUUUGUAUGUGUUUGUUUGAAUUUUUUUAAAUUUGUUAGUUGUUAAAAUUUGUGCCAUUUUUUCCAAAGGAACAGAACAGCUAAGAAAUUCUUAUUAGGGUCUAAAUAAGAACAUGAAUCGAGAAUGAAUAUAUGUUAGAUACGAAGGUGGAUAUCUGCAUCCACGGUUUAUACAAGGGGUGAAGGAAUUUGUUAAUUUUGCAAAAAUGCAUCCCGAUUGCAUGAAUGGUGAGAAGAUAAGAUGUCCGUGUGAUCAUAAAAAAUGCAGAAACAAGGGUUAUCUUGAGGAGGUUAUAGUGAAAUGUCAUCUUGCAAAGUAUGGAUUCAUGAAAAACUAUAAUUGCUGGUAUUGUCAUGGAGAAACUUUUGUACCCAAUAUUAUCCAAGCUACUCCCAACAUAGAUUUAGAACAUGAAUCCCAUGAAACUGAAACAAUUAAUCAUGGUGAUUUCUUUCGAUCAAUGAUGCAAGAUGUCAUUGGUCCUUCUCAAGUUCCUAAUGUAGCGGAAGAGGACCCGAAUUUGGAAGCCCAGCAUUUGUAUGACAUGUUUCGGGCAUCUGAACAAGAGUUGUGGGAAGGAAAUCCGGGAGGACAUUUUCAAUUAUCAGCUGUUGCGAGAUUGAUGAAUUUAAAAGCGGAGUUUCAUUUUUCAGAAAGGUUAUAUGAUGAAUUUUGUAAGUUUUUGGCAGAGAUUUAAAUCUUUUGUUGGUUACGUAUGUGAUAAUUCAAUUGAAUUUUUUUUAAUUAUAAGAUGAAGUCGAGAAAUCA